UCCAAUAUGGGGUGGGGUGGAGCGGAGUGGAGCGGAGUGGAGUAUAAUCAAUGGAUAAUGCUCCUCCAUAUCCGUUGCGUCAUUUUCUGUUUAAUUUGCUGUCAGCCUGUCACCACUGCCAUUUGCCAUUGGGUAGAAUAUACGUACCCAGAUGCUUUUUAAUUGCUUAUGCGUGUGACUUCAGACUUACUAUAUUAUGCCCACAUAAUAAUUGUCAUAAUACUAUAUAAUACAUGUUGCUUUCUUAUGCAGCAAACACUAGAUUGAUGGAAACAAUGUAGUAGUGUAGUAGUAUUAUCCAUUCUACUUAUUUUAUAGUAGCAGCAGUAGUAGUAGUAUUCAGGAAGCCAAUUCAUUACUGUAACUUUUAAAUUAAUGUAAAUUUAUUUACGUUUUGAAAAAACAACUUCUUUUUGUCAUCAA
This 423-nucleotide long non-coding RNA is filed under the name Panax ginseng (ginseng). RNAcentral's name for it is "long non-coding RNA (PGIN_LNC008624)". Lineage: Eukaryota; Viridiplantae; Streptophyta; Magnoliopsida; Apiales; Araliaceae. The record is from RNAcentral.